UACGAACUGUGCAAACGUUAUUCGGAAUCACUGGGCUUAAAGGGUGCGUAGGCGGCUAUCUAAGCAGGGUGUGAAAGCCCCCGGCUCAACCGGGGAAUUGCGUUCUGAACUGGAUGGCUGGAGUGGGAUAGGGGUGUGUGGAACUUCCGGUGGAGCGGUGAAAUGUGUUGAUAUCGGAAGGAACGCCGGUGGCGAAAGCGACACACUGGGUCUCAACUGACGCUGAGGCACGAAAGCCAGGGGAGCGAACGGG
RNAcentral lists this ribosomal RNA (253 nucleotides) under uncultured bacterium. RNAcentral's name for it is "partial 16S ribosomal RNA". It matches the Rfam family "Bacterial small subunit ribosomal RNA", at positions 524 to 776 of the family's 1533-position model. The record is from RNAcentral.